UAGGGAAUCUUCCGCAAUGGGCGAAAGCCUGACGGAGCAACGCCGCGUGAGUGAUGAAGGUCUUCGGAUCGUAAAACUCUGUUAUUAGGGAAGAACAAAUGUGUAAGUAACUAUGCACGUCUUGACGGUACCUAAUCAGAAAGCCACGGCUAACUACGUGCCAGCAGCCGCGGUAAUACGUAGGUGGCAAGCGUUAUCCGGAAUUAUUGGGCGUAAAGCGCGCGUAGGCGGUUUUUUAAGUCUGAUGUGAAAGCCCACGGCUCAACCGUGGAAGGUCAUUGGAAACUGGAAAACUUGAGUGCAGAAAAGGAAAGUGGAAUUCCAGGUGUAGCGGUGAAAUGCGCAGAGAUAUGGAGGAACACCAGUGGCGAAGGCGACUUUCUGGUCUGUAACUGACGCUGAUGUGCGAAAGCGUGGGGAUCAAACAGG
RNAcentral lists this ribosomal RNA (429 nucleotides) under Actinomycetes bacterium. RNAcentral's name for it is "Actinobacteria bacterium partial 16S ribosomal RNA". It matches the Rfam family "Bacterial small subunit ribosomal RNA", at positions 355 to 776 of the family's 1533-position model. The record is from RNAcentral. Lineage: Bacteria; Bacillati; Actinomycetota; Actinomycetes.